UGCGCAGGCGGUUUUGUAAGACAGUGGUGAAAUCCCCGGGCUCAACCUGGGAACUGCCAUUGUGACUGCAAGGCUGGAGUGCGGCAGAGGGGGAUGGAAUUCCGCGUGUAGCAGUGAAAUGCGUAGAUAUGCGGAGGAACACCGAUGGCGAAGGCAAUCCCCUGGGCCUGCACUGACGCUCAUGCACGAAAGCGUGGGGAGCAAACAG
This 208-nucleotide ribosomal RNA is filed under the name uncultured Comamonas sp. RNAcentral describes it as "partial 16S ribosomal RNA". It matches the Rfam family "Bacterial small subunit ribosomal RNA", at positions 568 to 775 of the family's 1533-position model. Lineage: Bacteria; Pseudomonadati; Pseudomonadota; Betaproteobacteria; Burkholderiales; Comamonadaceae. The record is from RNAcentral.